GACAAUGAUGGAGGGGGAGAAGCAGCAGAAGAAAAGACAAAGAAAAAAAGAGAAAAACGUAAGAAAACAAACAAACAAACAAAACGAAACAGAAGAAAACUAAAAAAGAAAAAAGAAAAAAAAAAAAGCAGAAGAAAACAAAAUAAAUAAAUAAGAAAAUCAACAACCGAAGAAAAACCCAUUAAAUAAAACAAAAUAGCUCUCUUUCCAGAGAAAAGAAAGCCCGGAGGGCAAGGAGUUUGGGGAAGCGCCGCAGCGGGACCCGCCCGCCCCGUUUCAUCACCACGGACAGCGGCCGCUGCCGGGCAGCUGCGGGUGGAGCUCAGAGCGCCGGCAACGGGGAGGCGAUCCAAAGUGGGGAGGUGAUCCUAAAUGGGGAGGUGAUCCUAAAUGGGGAGAUGAUCCUAAAUGGGGAGGUGAUCCUAAAUGGGGAGGUGAUCCUAAAUGGGGAGAUGAUCCUAAAUGGGGAGGUGAUCCAAAGUGGGGAGGUGAUCCUAAAUGGGGAGGCGAUCCAAAGUGGGGAGAUGAUCCUAAAUGGGGAGGUGAUCCUAACUGGGGAGGUGAUCCUAAAUGGGGAAGUGAUCCUAAAUGGGGAGGUGAUCCUAAAUGGGGAGGUGAUCCUAACUGGGAAGGUGAUCCUAAC
Tympanuchus pallidicinctus (lesser prairie-chicken) is the source of this 643-nucleotide long non-coding RNA. RefSeq lists it as uncharacterized. The record is from RefSeq and is a predicted model, not a curated record. Lineage: Eukaryota; Metazoa; Chordata; Aves; Galliformes; Phasianidae. The transcript is spliced from 3 exons.